This 440-nucleotide ribosomal RNA is filed under the name uncultured bacterium. RNAcentral describes it as "bacterial SSU rRNA". It matches the Rfam family "Bacterial small subunit ribosomal RNA", at positions 338 to 795 of the family's 1533-position model. The record is from RNAcentral.
CCUACGGGGGGCAGCAGUGGGGAAUAUUGCACAAUGGGGGAAACCCUGAUGCAGCAACGCCGCGUGAGCGAUGAAGGCCUUCGGGUCGUAAAGCUCUGUCCUAAGGGAAGAAUGCUGACGGUACCUUAGGAGGAAGCCCCGGCUAACUACGUGCCAGCAGCCGCGGUAAUACGUAGGGGGCUAGCGUUAUCCGGAAUUACUGGGCGUAAAGGGUGCGUAGGCGGCCCUUCAAGUCCGAGGUGAAAGGCUACGGCUCAACCGUAGUAAGCCUUUGAAACUGUAGGGCUUGAGUGCAGGAGAGGGGAGUGGAAUUCCCAGUGUAUCGGUGAAAUGCGUAGAUAUUGGGAGGAACAUCAGGUGGGAAGGCUGCGCUCUAGACUGGAACUGCCGCUGGUGCACGAAGGCGUGGGGAGCGAACAGGAUUAGAUACCCGGGUAGUC